CAUAAUUUCUCUAUUCCAUCAUUCCUGUUUUAAAGCUCAAGUGUACUGGAGUCAAGUGUCAGUGUACUGAAAGAACAACUGCUACACAGAAGUUGUAUAUUCUGUUCUGGAAAUCAGGGAAGAAAAUGUUUGUCAGAGAUCAAGAAAAGAAAGGGUGAGCAGUCUCAUCAAAACAGAAGGCAUUCAUUGAUGCAACACAUGACCUAAGCAAUUCCCUGAUCUAGUUGCUUUCACAUCUGCACAUUCCUAAGAGCUAGAAGGAGGAAUAUGUGGACAGACAUAGAAGAUACUUCACUUUUCAAAUCAACUGUGACACCAUCAGUCAGACAGGUGUGCAUAGGAACACUGCUUAGCAGAAACUCUAAGCAGUACCCAGUGAAGGCUUUGCAGUGGCUGAGUAAAAACAUCUGCAGGAGACAAGGCUGUGACUUUAAGAAAAUGGGUUACAGAAAGGACUCAAGUACCACGAUGUUCAAAAUGUUUUCAACUACAGCAGGAAUUUAUCGGGAGGUUCUCUUUACAAGUGACUUGUGACUUUACUGAGUAUAAAUGCCCAGUUGGGUGAGACUAUGCUGAUAUGUUUAUUCAAAUCACCUUUUGUUAAUGGCUUGCAGAGUCUGUUAAACAAUUUUGCUAAUUCUAUCCUUCAGACUGCAAGAUAAAAUGGUAACUUCAAAAUUGAAACACAAAGUAUACUAAUUCUUAUCAGACAUCUUUCAUAAUAAGAUAUCAUGUUUUCCUUCUAAGUCUAAAAAAAUAUUCAAAGAAAGA
Long non-coding RNA from Passer domesticus (house sparrow), 771 nucleotides. RefSeq lists it as uncharacterized. Lineage: Eukaryota; Metazoa; Chordata; Aves; Passeriformes; Passeridae. The record is from RefSeq and is a predicted model, not a curated record. The transcript has 4 exons.